GAAUCCGUUUAGAAAUCAUCCUACGAUUUUAUAAAUUAAAUAUUUCACAUUAUUACCGUCAUAAUGGCAUCGGUCAGGCCUAGAGAGGUCUCAGGCUACCUCUAUGCCUGGACUUUCACGUUCCAAGAUCUCCAGGAAGCCAUCGUAAGAAGCUCUCAAACUCCUCGAGCUCCUCUCGACAACUCGGCUCCACCCUCGAGGUAACCAAGCCCCUGAGCCCCUUCCACGAGAAUAAUCCAAGAAAACCUGUCACCUGUUACCCUAUUUUCGCGGAGAAACGGUUCGUUGGUUCGGACUGGGACAGUAGUCGGCAACCAAUCGCUAAAGACAAUUUUCGCGGGGCGAUUUCGCGCAACACAAACGGCCUCUUCUAGGUAUCUUCGGAUUGUUGUUCAGUGUUUCUGGACGUAUACGCCAGCGACGAGGACCUUGCGGAAGAACGAGGAGAAGAGCAACGUGUGCUGGAGCAACGAGUGCUGGGAGCUGGCACGUAGUCAGAAUACUGCGAGGACAAUCGAUCGGUAGUAACGUUUCGAAUGGUCUCCUCGAGCAUCGGUGCGGUGGAACUUCCGUUUUCUCGGCUGGUAUCGAUUGUACCUCCGCGCGUGUAAACGAUCGUACAAAUCGGUGGACACCGAACACUCCGAUCAGGAGUUCGUGUAAAUAGUAUCGAAGUUUCGUAGAUUGGCUCGCUUGGACUCGUGGCGAACAGGAGCGCUCGACAGGGUCUUCCUCGUCGUCACUGGAGUCACGGACGCGACGAUUUCUCGCGUGGCAAUCGUUGAACGACGGUCAGGUGCUGAGACACGAUUAUGGUUGGUUGGAGACGCGUUGGUCCCGACGCGUCUACGAGGGCCCCACAGAUGCAACGACUUUACGUGUAAUUAUUUAUAAAGGUGGUUAAGCGGAUUAUCGUUCGCAGGUAGGUGUCUUGACCUCUUCUAAAACGGCGAGAAACUGUUUAGGUAUAACUAUAGCUGCGCCAGGUCGUGUCGACUCGUUUAACAGGGAAUCGUCGCGUCUGCGACUCCUAGAUGACCUCUACAGUCCUUACCCUCUGCGCGAAUGAGGGCUAGGAUCCACGAUGGAAGACGCGUCCAGCGAGCCUCUGACUAACGGUCUAAUUCUUACGCAAUGGAAGGCUGAAACGCGCGCUGUGAUCAUCGAACACCGAAAACUCAAAGGGUACUACGAAUUAUAAUCGCGGUCGUUAAUCGCUGUAUCGUCACGUGUAUCUUAAUGUUGUUCGUUUCGUUAGGCCACUAAGCUCGGUUCUUCGAUCCACCGGGAUAGAGAAGCGAGACGACGUUCUCGGGUGUUAAUUGUCGACAGUAUUUCGUACGUGUACGAUGUCCAAUAGUAAAAACAGAGCUGUACAUAAACGGGGAGGGAAUUCAGGGAUUCUUCGAGCGACAGGCGAUCGAAUCCACGACGGGAACGACACACGAAGAAAAACGAACGCCUGGACGCUCAGGGUCGCUAUCCCUUCGUCCCCGACCCCCCACAGAUACGUGUAAUUACAUUUCUCUUUGGACCAAUACUCUUCGUCUACUAAACGGUAAUAAUCAAUUGUCGAGGCUCGUAAAGUACCUAACAAACCUCUUGUUAGUAUAAGAAUCGUCGACCGUGUGGUUCCUAAGUUGUCUCGUAGCGGGUCGAGCGAGGCUCGAGUCAAGUCAGCGUGGAACUUAUGUGAUACCGUAGGGCCGAUUAAUUAAGGUUAAUUUACACGUUACGAGCAUGUGGGGAAGGGGAUAGGGGGGCGGAAAACUGUUACCGCGACGAUGGAACGAGACGUUGUUGACGACGUUUGCGACGUUCGAGGACGCGUCGCGCGUCUCUUAGGCGACUUGCUCGCGGAAUUCUUGGUCUUUAAGGGUGCUUGUCUUCUUGACGCGUUGAUCGCCCCAGGGAUUCUUUUCGGAGAACGUACACGUUGAGUUUUAAAAGCUUCUUAACUUGAAAGAAUAGUUUUAUCGAGUUGUAGUAACGCUUGAAGGGAUUCAACAGAAGUGAUAGAUUGCUAAUAUUAGAUUGGCCAGAAAGUUUGUUCGAUGAUGUUUGUUUCUCUGGAGUUCGAAUGGUUACUUGACGGGUUUGUCCAAUUGAUGAGGGAGAGAUCAUAAAUAUUCGUACCCCCUAUAUCUAUUAAAGAAGUACCUCUAAAUUAAACAAUGGGUUCGAUGGUUUCAAAUAAAUGUUUCAUUAUAAAUAUGUACAAAUAUUUAUGGGACUGACUAUAUUUCUUCGUCUAAGAGAAAUCGCUGUUUAUUUGUGCGUUAAAAUCCGAACGACCUUUUCGACCAACAUAAUAUUUGAGAUUUUUACGAGUAUAUCGUACUGGAGGAUGAAUAAGAUGUUCCUUGUAUACAAUUAUCUGUUCAGUAUUACUAGGCUACAUUUUUUAACGGACCUUGUGCAAUUUUCUAUCCCCGCGAAGCAUCCUCAGGGGUCUCCUCGACUCUCGACGUACUUUCUAAACAAACUUAACGUAUUCAGACACACGUGUUGAUCCAUCUCCGAUUAAACAUACCGCGCGAUCGACGCAUUAAAUAUUUAUCAACAGAGAUUUCGAUUCCGCGGGUGAAUCCGCCACGUAGACGAUCGUCGCGUCCUCGAACUCCACGGAUUCGCGCUCGACUCAAAGAGUUCCCUGUCCUACGACGUAACAUGAGGUUCCAGAUGACCGAGAUCGUCCUGGUCCUGGCCAAGGCGGCACUUGUACAUAGAAGAUCGCGUGACAACGAUUAAACGUCACCUCGAUCAUCCGGAACGCUCGCGAGUCGUCGGACGCCUGCACACGACCAAAAUGGAACUAGAUAUACAUGCAUAUGAUACACGCAUUACCUAUACGCAUAAAUAUAAAUAUGGAUUUAUAUAUAGAUUGAUAUAUAUAAAUAUUAUAUGUACACAUCCAACGUGUCUGUGGCCUGGUGCGGUGGGAAUCAGAACUUCGUGCGAGGCUGUUUGACUUCCUGGCUGUAUCGACUGCUUCCCAAUCGAUAUCGCGGGCCCCCGCAAGGUGUCGAGAAGUAAAUAUGGUCCAUGUUGAGCGUGGCUGUUUCGAAGGAGACGGGGCAACCGAGGGAACUCCAAAAGCCGCGAGUUUCCGUUUGUUCUACGGUGUAAACUGGCGAAAGUCGGUGUCUGCACCUAGCAAUUAUAGACCGUUCGGAGGAUUUUCGUAACGUUUAGAGUCUGUGUUACUCGAAACUGAUCGCGAUUGCAGCUAUCGAGGGCCCUCCGAUUGUCUUCUAUCUUGUAUAUGGAUUUUUUGUUCCGAUGAUUGUGGUUUGAGGGUUGAAAGUUUCCUCCAGAGUUUGAGCCUCUGUUGUUGACUCGAAAAUUUGUGAAUAUUCGAGGAAGUGUAUAUGAUUCUUGAGGGAAGAUAGUAGGGCGUACAAAAUGGUUGAAGAUUCAUUUUUAACUUCUGUAUUUUCAAUAUUUGGUUUAAGAGGAUUCAGUGCACUGUUUCUACCUUCAAUCUUAAUUUAUUUAUUAUUUAUGUUAAAUUAAAUUGAAUUAAAAUUUAUUCUUAGUCGAUUUUUAAUUCACAAUACGUAUGUACAUGUAAAUGAAAACGUGGAGUCCCUGUUAACACAGAGGCUUGUAAACACAAAGAUUCGAAAAACCGACAGCCUCAAACAAGUACUUUUAUUAAUGUUAUACCUUUAUGUUUAAUUAUACUUCAUUCUCGGAAAAUCUACGAAUCAGAGAAUUGAAUUCACGAAGAAUUUAUUUUAAAAACUUCCUUGUGUCUCUCACAGUUUUCGAGAUCAUUUUAAUGGAUAUCUACAACCACAGGAAAGGAGCAUGUUAGUUCUGAAUUAAAUUUCUUAUCGGGUAGAGAUUAAUUUACGAAUUAAAUUCCUUUAAUAAGAAUUACCUAAUCUUCUUAUGCCCAUCAGAGGAACGAGCAUGAUGUAAUUUUUCUGUUUAUGUCUCGACGACUGGUUGCCCUGUCUUCUCGAGUGAAUAGGAUUAUCCUUCCUUCGACGCCCUUCCUUCGUAUUUGUUUUUACAAUAACAGACUUACGCCUGGGAUAAAAGGCACGGGAAUUUCUUUUAUCCUCGCAAUACUCGUUUAUCUCUUCGCCGUGGUAGGAGGGUAGUCCUCUAUUUUCAUUUCCCAUUGAGUUAAGUCGUAAUUCGUCAUUUUGUUAGGUAACUUCUCUCGUAGACCCCAAUCCUACUUAUUAUACUCUUUCACUAAUACAAUUUAAUUUCAUAAAUUAUUAAUUAUUAUUUAGAAAGAACGCAGAUAAUCAGUCCAAGCAUUAUUAUUCAGAAUAUUAUUCGAAGUAAUAAUCCAUGUACUGGCGGAUCGCGUUUUUAAUUUGUUUCUUCAACUCGUAGGCAUCGAUCGUAUUUAUUUUUAAUUUUGCCAAUGUUUGCUACAAUUUUUUACAGUGAACUUCGCUAUGUCGAGGCUCGAGACGAAUAAAUAUUGCGAUCGUAAACUUUAUUUCUAGUUAUUUACAUCUGUGAUACUUUUUAUCGUGCGAAGUGGACUCGAAGUCGAUGCCUCGAUUCGUUUUCCGUGUCGCGAUAACUUCAAAGGACAAAAA
Hylaeus anthracinus is the source of this 4568-nucleotide long non-coding RNA. RefSeq lists it as uncharacterized. The record is from RefSeq and is a predicted model, not a curated record. Lineage: Eukaryota; Metazoa; Arthropoda; Insecta; Hymenoptera; Colletidae. The transcript is spliced from 2 exons.